Molecule: ribosomal RNA, 253 nt
Filed under: uncultured bacterium
Lineage: Bacteria
Description: partial 16S ribosomal RNA
Rfam family: Bacterial small subunit ribosomal RNA
Source: RNAcentral
UACGUAGGGCGCGAGCGUUGUCCGGAUUUAUUGGGCGUAAAGAGCUCGUAGGCGGCUUGUCGCGUCGGCCGUGAAAACCUGCAGCUCAACUGCAGGCUUGCGGUCGAUACGGGCAGGCUAGAGUUCGGUAGGGGAGACUGGAAUUCCUGGUGUAGCGGUGAAAUGCGCAGAUAUCAGGAGGAACACCGGUGGCGAAGGCGGGUCUCUGGGCCGAUACUGACGCUGAGGUGCGAAAGCGUGGGGAGCAAACAGG